RNAcentral lists this ribosomal RNA (222 nucleotides) under uncultured bacterium. RNAcentral describes it as "partial 16S ribosomal RNA". It matches the Rfam family "Bacterial small subunit ribosomal RNA", at positions 524 to 742 of the family's 1533-position model. The record is from RNAcentral.
GACAUAGGUGGCGAACGUUAUCCGGAAUUAUUGGGCGUAAAGAGUGCGUAGGUGGUUUAAUAAGUUAUUGGUGGGAAAUCGGGGGCUCAACCCCCGUGGAAGUCGGUAAUACUGUUAGACUAGAGGACCGGAGGGGUUAACGGAAUGGUUCAUGUAGGGGUAAAAUCCAUAGAUAUGAAUUAGAACACCAAUCGGCGAAGGCAGUUAACUAUUCGGUUCCGU